GUAGGUGGCGAGCGUUGUCCGGAAUUAUUGGGCGUAAAGCGCGCGCAGGCGGUUCUUUAAGUCUGAUGUGAAAGCCCACGGCUCAACCGUGGAGGGUCAUUGGAAACUGGAGAACUUGAGUACAGAAGAGGAAAGCGGAAUUCCACGUGUAGCGGUGAAAUGCGUAGAGAUGUGGAGGAACACCAGUGGCGAAGGCGGCUUUCUGGUCUGUAACUGACGCUGAGGCGCGAAAGCGUGGGGGAGCAAACAGGAUUAGAUACCCUGGUAGUCCACGCCGUAAACGAUGAGUGCUAAGUGUCAGGGGGUUUCCGCCCCCCCCUUAGUGCUGCAGCUAACGCAUUAAGCACUCCGCCCUGGGGAGUACGGCCGCAAGGCUG
This 377-nucleotide ribosomal RNA is filed under the name uncultured organism. RNAcentral describes it as "partial 16S ribosomal RNA". It matches the Rfam family "Bacterial small subunit ribosomal RNA", at positions 527 to 896 of the family's 1533-position model. The record is from RNAcentral.